Molecule: ribosomal RNA, 442 nt
Filed under: uncultured bacterium
Lineage: Bacteria
Description: partial 16S ribosomal RNA
Rfam family: Bacterial small subunit ribosomal RNA
Source: RNAcentral
CCUACGGGAGGCAGCAGUAGGGAAUCUUUCACAAUGGGCGAAAGCCUGAUGGAGCAACGCCGCGUGCAGGAUGAAGGCCUUCGGGUUGUAAACUGCUUUUAUAAGCGAGAAAUAUGAUGGUAACUUAUGAAUAAGGAUCGGCUAACUACGUGCCAGCAGCCGCGGUCAUACGUAGGAUCCGAGCAUUAUCCGGAGUGACUGGGUGUAAAGAGUUGCGUAGGUGGCAUAAUAAGUAGCUAGUGAAAUCUGGUGGCUCAACCAUUCAGACUAUUAGCUAAACUGUUAAGCUCGAGACCGUUAGGGGUAACUGGAAUGUCUAGUGGAGGAGUGAAAUCCGUAGAUAUUAGAAGGAACACCAAUAGCGUAGGCAGGUUGCUGGGACGGUUCUGACACUAAGGCACGAAAGCGUAGGGAGCAAACGGGAUUAGAUACCCGUGUAGUC